Molecule: non-coding RNA, 94 nt
Organism: Gymnopilus junonius
Lineage: Eukaryota; Fungi; Basidiomycota; Agaricomycetes; Agaricales; Galerinaceae
Source: the annotation of a GenBank genome assembly
UCCCUCUUAGCUCAGUGGUAGAGCGCGUCACUAGUAUGACAGAAUGUGUCAAUAUGAAAUGACGAGGUCAGUCGUUCAAGUCGGCUAGAGGGAA